This 69-nucleotide transfer RNA is filed under the name Stenella longirostris (spinner dolphin). Its description in RNAcentral is "tRNA-Ala". It matches the Rfam family "tRNA". From Rfam's summary of the family: Transfer RNA (tRNA) molecules are approximately 80 nucleotides in length. Their secondary structure includes four short double-helical elements and three loops (D, anti-codon, and T loops). The record is from RNAcentral. Lineage: Eukaryota; Metazoa; Chordata; Mammalia; Artiodactyla; Delphinidae.
GAGGANUUAGCUUAAUNAAAGUGUUUGAUUUGCAUUCAAUUGAUGUAAGAUAUAGUCUUGCAAUCCUUA